GAGUUUGAUCGUGGCUCAGGAUAAACGCUGGCGGCGCACAUAAGACAUGCAAGUCGAACGAACUUAAUUUUAAUAUUUAUAUUAAAAAGCGGUUAGUGGCGGACUGGUGAGUAACGCGUAAGCAAUCUGCCUAUCAGAGGGGAAUAACAGUGAGAAAUCAUUGCUAAUACCGCAUAUGCCAUAAGAAUCACAUGAUUCUAGUGGGAAAGGAGCAAUCCACUGAUAGAUGAGCUUGCGUCUGAUUAGCUAGUUGGUGGGAUAACGGCCUACCAAGGCGACGAUCAGUAGCCGGACUGAGAGGUUGAACGGCCACAUUGGGACUGAGAUACGGCCCAGACUCCUACGGGAGGCAGCAGUCGGGAAUAUUGCGCAAUGGAGGAAACUCUGACGCAGUGACGCCGCGUAUAGGAAGAAGGUUUUCGGAUUGUAAACUAUUGUCGUUAGGGAAGAUAAAAGACAGUACCUAAGGAGGAAGCUCCGGCUAACUACGUGCCAGCCGCCGCGGU
This 506-nucleotide ribosomal RNA is filed under the name uncultured microorganism. Its description in RNAcentral is "bacterial SSU rRNA". It matches the Rfam family "Bacterial small subunit ribosomal RNA", at positions 9 to 521 of the family's 1533-position model. The record is from RNAcentral.